GAAAUUUUAAUCACUGGAGACCAUUGUUUCUACAUUUUGAUACUUAUUUCAAGACGUACUUAUGUAAUAGGAAAGAUCUUGGCUUGUCUGAUAAUAUAUUAGAAGAUGAUAGCCCUUUCCCUAAGCAAGCAGUUCUACAGAUCUUACGUGUGAUGCAGAUCAUACUAGAGAAUUGUCAUAAUAAGGGUUCAUUUAGUGGCUUGG
RNAcentral lists this unclassified non-coding RNA (204 nucleotides) under Hevea brasiliensis (rubber tree). The record is from RNAcentral. Lineage: Eukaryota; Viridiplantae; Streptophyta; Magnoliopsida; Malpighiales; Euphorbiaceae.